ACUGUAUAAAAUAGAAAUCGGUAAUUCAAAUGCCGGACUCUGAAAAUAAGCCGAAGAAUUCUAAUUUCGAACUUUUCCUCGUAACUCAACCGAAAUAUACUCGUUUUGAUAUCGAAUCGUACUCAUAUUUGUUAUGUAUUUUUAAACCGAUUCCGGUAGAGGGAUGCAUUCCUUAACCUCGCCCCGCCCCUGCGCACGCCGAUGUCCUAGUGUUUUUAGUGACUCCGCCUAGUGUGGCCUAUGAGAUUUUGGACGGGGUAUUUC
Molecule: non-coding RNA, 264 nt
Organism: Cinara cedri
Lineage: Eukaryota; Metazoa; Arthropoda; Insecta; Hemiptera; Aphididae
Source: the annotation of a GenBank genome assembly